AGAGUUUGAUCCUGGCUCAGAACGAACGCUGGCGGCAUGCCUAACACAUGCAAGUCGAACGAACCUUCGGGUUAGUGGCGGACGGGUGAGUAACGCGUGAGAAUCUGCCCUCAGGAGGGGGACAACAGCUGGAAACGGCUGCUAAUACCCCAUAUGCCGCGAGGUGAAAUGAAUUUCGCCUGAGGAUGAGCUCGCGUCUGAUUAGCUAGUUGGUGUAGGUAAUGGCUCACCAAGGCAUCGAUCAGUAGCUGGUCUGAGAGGAUGAUCAGCCACACUGGGACUGAGACACGGCCCAGACUCCUACGGGAGGCAGCAGUGGGGAAUUUUCCGCAAUGGGCGAAAGCCUGACGGAGCAACGCCGCGUGAGGGAUGAAGGCCUCUGGGCUGUAAACCUCUUUUCUCAAGGAAGAAGAUAUGACGGUACUUGAGGAAUAAGCCACGGCUAAUUCCGUGCCAGCAGCCGCGGUAAUACGGGAGUGGCAAGCGUUAUCCGGAAUUAUUGGGCGUAAAGCGUCCGCAGGCGGCUUUUCAAGUCUGCUGUUAAAGCGUGGAGCUUAACUCCAUCAUGGCAGUGGAAACUGAAAGGCUUGAGUAUGGUAGGGGCAGAGGGAAUUCCCGGUGUAGCGGUGAAAUGCGUAGAUAUCGGGAAGAACACCAGUGGCGAAGGCGCUCUGCUGGGCCAUUACUGACGCUCAUGGACGAAAGCCAGGGGAGCGAAAGGGAUUAGAUACCCCUGUAGUCCUGGCCGUAAACGAUGAACACUAGGUGUCGGGGGAAUCGACCCCUUCGGUGUCGUAGCUAACGCGUUAAGUGUUCCGCCUGGGGAGUACGCACGCAAGUGUGAAACUCAAAGGAAUUGACGGGGGCCCGCACAAGCGGUGGAGUAUGUGGUUUAAUUCGAUGCAACGCGAAGAACCUUACCAGGGUUUGACAUCCUGCGAACCUCUUAGAAAUUUGAGGGUGCCUUCGGGAAUGCAGUGACAGGUGGUGCAUGGCUGUCGUCAGCUCGUGUCGUGAGAUGUUGGGUUAAGUCCCGCAACGAGCGCAACCCACGUUUUUAGUUGCCAGCAUUUAGUUGGGCACUCUAGAAAGACCGCCGGUGAUAAACCGGAGGAAGGUGUGGAUGACGUCAAGUCAUCAUGCCCCUUACACCCUGGGCUACACACGUACUACAAUGCUACGGACAAAGGGCAGCAAACUCGCGAGAGCUAGCAAAUCCCAUAAACCGUGGCUCAGUUCAGAUCGUAGGCUGCAACUCGCCUACGUGAAGUAGGAAUCGCUAGUAAUCGCAGGUCAGCAUACUGCGGUGAAUACGUUCCCGGGCCUUGUACACACCGCCCGUCACACCAUGGAAGUUGGCCAUGCCUGAAGUCGUUACUCCAACCCUUGUGGAGGAGGACGCCGAAGGUGGGGCUAAUGACUGGGGUGAAGUCGUAACAAGGUA
This 1444-nucleotide ribosomal RNA is filed under the name uncultured bacterium. Its description in RNAcentral is "16S ribosomal RNA". It matches the Rfam family "Bacterial small subunit ribosomal RNA". The record is from RNAcentral.